Molecule: ribosomal RNA, 253 nt
Filed under: uncultured bacterium
Lineage: Bacteria
Description: partial 16S ribosomal RNA
Rfam family: Bacterial small subunit ribosomal RNA
Source: RNAcentral
UACGUAGGUGACAAGCGUUGUCCGGAUUUACUGGGCAUAAAGAGCGCGCAGGCGGUCGUUCAAGUCGAGUGUGAAAGCCCCCGGCUCAACUGGGGAGGGUCACUCGAUACUGAUCGACUCGAAGGCAGGAGAGGGUAGUGGAAUUCCCGGUGUAGUGGUGAAAUGCGUAGAUAUCAGGAAGAACACCCGUGGCGAAGGCGGCUCUCUGGGACGGUACUGACGCUGAGACGCGAAAGCGUGGGGAGCGAACAGG